This 14217-nucleotide long non-coding RNA is filed under the name Homo sapiens (human). RNAcentral describes it as "HSALNT0374763". Lineage: Eukaryota; Metazoa; Chordata; Mammalia; Primates; Hominidae. The record is from RNAcentral.
GGAGAGGUGGUUGCUGGGAGAGCUGUUCCGGCGCUCACGUUCCAAUUCCAAAUUACAAAUUCCGAUCUAGAGCUCCCACGCUUGGGGGCUGUGGAGCGCUCGCCAGCCGCUCCCCGUUUGCUGCUGGGUCUUACGAAGUUCUCAUAUCCAUCAUACAGUUUCUUUGUCACACUGUCCGCGGCACGCCAGUCCCUAUGACAGAAAGCACCUGCGGUCUGUCUGGAGGCGGAGUUGGUGGCGGAGAGAAAAAGUUCUGGAGACACCUGGUUGGGAGCAGGCUAAGGAAACAAAUGGGGAGGAAUUAGCCACAAAUCCUCAAAUAGACAGCUACUCAAAGGCAUCUUCACGGACAAUUUCCAAGCAUUGGAUGCAGUGGUGCAUUCUUGCAUUGGGCAGUGAUUGUGUGCACACAUCUCUUUAAGGGAGAGUGGAAAUGGGGUGAGGAGGAAAAUGGGAGUAGGAUAGAGUGUAGCGUUGACAUUUAUUUUCUUUAAAGGAAGACCCGAGCAUACCUGAGAGCUCAGUGAAGAAAGUAGUUCUGGCGAAUCGGAUUAAUAUGCACCACUGAAACUUGACCUUCGGCCGGCGCGGUGGCUCACGCCUGUAAUCCCAGCACUUUGGGAGGCCGAGAUGGGCGGAUCACGAGGUCAGAAGAUCGAGACCAUCCUGGCUAACACGGUGAAACCCCGUCUCUACUAAAAAUACAAAAAAAUUAGCCGAGCGUGGUGGCGGGCUCCUGUAGUCCCAGCUACUUGGGAGGCUGAGGCAGGAGAAUGGCGUGAACCCGGGAGGCGGAGCUUGCGGUAAGCCGAGAUCGCGCCACUGCACUCCAGCCUGGGCGACUGAGCACGACUCCGUCUCAAAAAAAAAAAAAAAAAAACAAAAAAAAAACUUGACCUUCAUUAUAUCUCACUGCCCUCAUCCCAAACAUUUCCUCUCCCAGUUUUCCAGGAAACGGCAUCGCUGCCCAUCUCUUUUCAGGCCCCAACCCUGGAGAAGAACCUAAAUUUCUCAUUUCCUCACUACCUACCUCCAGUCCUUCAGCAGGUCCCGUUGGUUGGGCUGCUAAACUAUGGGCUAAAUCCUUUCAGUACUUUCCAUGCCCACAGCUACCACUCUGGUCCAAGCCAAAUUCUUAGUUCCCCUGGACUUCUUACUGCAGUAGCCUCUCAGCUUCCACUCUUGGCAAAAUCAAUUUUAUAAAACCUUGAAAUCCCUUAAUACCACUCGUCUGCUUAAACCUCGGCAUCCCACAUUUACCACUAUCAGGAAGGAUCACGUUUGUUUGUUUGCUGUCUCAUUCCCCCAUUUAUAUGUGAAUUCCACGGGUAAGGGCCUGCUCCUACAUCCCACACCUCUACAUCCACAGAGCCUAGAGACCGCAGGCGCGGGGAAAGCACUCCACGACCAUCACUGGCCAGGCCACAAGAGUGCUGGAUCUAAAUUUGGAACCGGACUUUCAGAGCUGAAAUAAACCUGAGGUUUUCCAGGGGCUUUUAACCUCCUUUUACAGCCAAGGAUGCGCCUAAGAAAGGGGAGAGGCUUCCGUGACUUCCUGCAGUAACGCAGCCACUAGAGAUUGAGACUACAACGACUUGGGAGUCUAAAAGUCUGCAACCUUUUCCACUCCAGAGCUCAAUGUUUCCUCAAUCCCCCGGGAUCGGCAUCAGCAAAAACCCGGAGAAGCGGAGCCUUUCUCAAAGAAAAUGACCUCCAGACUCAUGCUACCAUCUCGACCGGUGCAAGUAUCACGCAUGCGCAGGGCCGGCCGCCCGGCCGCACCUCGCCAACUCCUACUCGGACACGUCAUCUAGGUCGGCCUGGGUCUGGUGGGAGGGGCCGGGGGCGGGGCUCGUACGCGGGGCGAAGUGGUCCCCCUACUUCCGGAUCCGGCCUCACCUGGCCAACGCCUCAUUCGGGGUUCCUUGGUUACGUGGCUGCGGUGUCUACCCGGUGCUGGGGCGUGGCGGAGAGAGACCGCCCCGCCCUCCACGCAGGCCACAAAAUGGAGGCCCUGCCCUGUGGGCUUUUGUGGCCUGGGCGCUGUCGUGCCGAAAGACGAAAGUGACAAUUCCAGUUGCAAACUGGAAAGAAAUGGAGUUUUUCCUUCAUUCUCCCCAUGAUCGUGACGGUCCUUUUCUCAAAGUACUAAUACUUUUAAUGGGACUGUAAAACUUGAGGGAUAUGACUCUCUCCUCUCCUCUGCUUCAGAUUGCAUUUGCCAACUCUGAUUUACCGCCAAUACUAUGGUGCUGUCAUAUUCAUAGAGACAGAAAGUAGAGCAGUGGUUGUAGAGAGAGUCUGCAGAAGGAGGGAUGGGGAUUUACUGUUUAAUGGCAUACGGUUUCAGUAUGGGUUGGUGAAAAAGUUGGGAUGAAUGGUGAUGACUGCACAACAAUGCAAAUAUGCUAAUGUCACAGAAGUGUACACUUAAAAAUGGUUAGACGGUAAGUUUUCUAUUAUGUAUAUUUUACCACAAUUUUUUUUUAAAUGCAACAGAGUCUCGCUGUUGCCUAGGCUGGAGUGCAGUGGCAGGAUCUCAGCUCACUGCAACCUCCGCCUUCCAGGUUCAAGCGAUUCUUGUGCCUCAGCCUCCCAAGUAACUGGGAUUACAGGUGCCAGCCACCACGCCCAGCUAAUUUUUGUAUGUUUAGUAGAGAUGGGGUUUCACCAUGUUGGCCAGGCUAGGCUGUUCUCGAACUCCUGAACUCAGGUGAUCCGCCUGCCUUGGUCUCCCCCAGUGCCGAGAUUACACGCGUGAGCCACCACGCCGGGCCCCACAGUUUUUUGUUUUUGUCUUUUAAAUUUUUUUUAACAGCAUUUGUGUCUUUUUUUCUUUUUCUUUUGUUUUUGAAACAGAAUCUCACUCUGUCACCAAGCUGGAGUGCAGUGGCGCCAUCUUGGCUCACUGCAACCUCUGACUCCCUGGUUCAAGCAAUUCUCCUGCCUCAGCCUCUCCAGUAGCUGGGGUUACAGGCACGCACCACCCCGCCCAGCUAAUUUUUGUAUUUUUAGUAGAGAUGGGGUUUCACCAUAUUGGCCAGGGUGGUCUCCAUCUCCUGACCCCGUGAUCCACCUUGCCUUCCCAAAGUGCUGGGAUUACAGGUGUGAGCCACUGCACCCAACCUAAAUGGCAUUUGUUUCUUCCACUCCUCUCUGCCAGAAUAAUUUGGACAGCCUUUUCUGAGUUUCCCAUGACGACUUCUGUAUAAGAUUGUCGGAUAUAGCAAAUAAAAGUACAGUAUACCCAGGUAAAUUUUAAUUUCAGAUGAUCAAUGAAUAAUUUUUUAGUAUAAGUACAUUCCAACUAUUACAUGGGACAUAAGGGUAUUUUAUCUGAUCACCCUACUUUUGUGUCAAGUUAAAAUUAUUAGCAAAAGUGCUUCCGUUUUUAGGAAGUGCACACUGUACUCUAGUAGUUAGGCAGGAGAACAGGGUCUGCGAGCAGGGAACCUAAGGCCGUUUCACACUGACUUCCUAGAGCCAUUUGGAAAGGAAAACCCUAACUUUCCACUCCUAAGUAACAAAAGGCCCAGAGGCCACUCCCUUUGCAAACCCCCACCUUUUCUGUGCCGCAGCUGGAAAAUUGAAAGUGCCUCUGAUUGGUUGCUUUCUGCAACUAAUCAGAUGUUUGCAUAGAGUGUAACUUUGUAACUUCACUUCAGCCUCUGAUUGGUUGCUGUCCCCAACCAAUCAGACUGAUUGUGGGCCAAGGCUUCGUUUGAAUAGAAGUGCAACUUUGUAACUUCACUUUAGCCUCUGAUUGCAGGCCACCACUUCAUUUACAUGGGGUGAGCACCAAGUAAGUGGCCAAUGGGAAACAUCUAGAGGGUAUUUGGACCCGAGAAGAUUCUGUAUCUGGGGCCCUUGAGCUGCUGCUCAGCCUGCUCCCACACUGUGAAGUGUACUUUCACUUUCAAUAAAUCUCUGCUUUCCUUGCUUCAUUCUUUCCUAGCUUUACUGUGCGUUUUGUCCAAUUAUUUGUUCAAAACGCCAAGAACCUGGACAACUUGCUGUCCGCAACCAAUCAGACUGAUUGUGGGCUGAAUCUUCAUUUGCAUGGAAGUGCAACUUUGUAACUUCACUUUAGCCUCUGAUUGCGGGCCACCACUUCAUUUACAUGAGGCAAACACCAAUGCGUUUUGUUCAAUUCUUUGUUCAAAACCCCAAGAAUCUGGACAACUUGCACUCAAGACCCUCUACGGGUUUGGCGAGCCAGGUAGGAGGAAGCCCAAAGUAUGGGAUUUAUUUUUCUCCUUUCUUCUUUUCCUCUCUGCUACAUACAGGGGAAUCUUUCUCUCUUUCUUUUCCUUUCCAACUCGGGACUCUUGGUGAACAGUGCCUAAGCAUAGUGACAACUGCAAGUUUCUGGCCAGAGCCUCUCUCUGGUGAAACUGAAAGGCUUCCAUGUGGAAGCGUCUGAGUAACACCACUGGGUUUGGGUGAGGGACCUGAGUCCUUUUCCUUGUUUUUGUUUUUCUGAGUCCUAUUCCUUUUUUCCUUUUUCUGAGUUAUUUCCCUUUUUUUCUUUUCCAGUCUUUCAGUGGCUGUUUUCUAGUAGCUCCUUGGCAAUUGAGGGGAACUGGCUGGGACCACUCUCCAGUGCUGUCUGAAGGCCAAGGAGUGAACAGGGAUGGCUGCCCUGCCUUGAAGAGGGAAGGACUCUUUUCUAUCCUUUCCAGCUAUAGUCCCUGAUCCCUACAUGUGAUGCGGUUGGCAGCGGAAGCUCAUCCUGGGCGAACUCACACACUUUUCAGGAGACUUAAACCUUUUCUUAUGCUAAGUUCUUCCCUUCCCCUACUCAUCUGGCUAAAGGACAGACUAUGCAAAAAAGGUUAUACAAGUCAGAGGGUCUGAGCAUGUCGGAGGUGGUCUGUGUGGGGCAUGGGGUGGGGGGAAAAUUCAUGAAAGGCAAUUUAUUGCCUAAAUUUAAAGGGUUAAAGGGUUGCUUUAAGUGGGAUAGAAAAACCUUAAGGAAAGUUCAUAGUAGGUCCUCAGUGGUGGAGUGUUGUGGGAAGUCAGGGACCCUGAAUGAAGGGACUGGCUGAAGCCAUGGCAGAAGAACAUAAACUGUGAAGAUUUCAUGGACAUUUAUUAGUUCCCCAAAUUAACACUUUUAUAAUUUCUUACGCCUGUCUUUACUGCAAUCUCUGAACAUAAAUUGUGAAGAUUUUAUGGACAUUUAUCACUUCCCCAAUCAAUACUCUUGUGAUUUCCUAUGCCUGUCUUUACUUUAAUCUCUUAAUCCCGUCAUCUUCGUAAGCUGAGGAGGAUGUAAGUCGCCUCAGGACCCUGUGAUGAUUGUGUUAACUGCACAAAUUGUUUGUAGAGCAUGUGUGUUUGAACAGUAUCAAAUCUGGGCACCUUAAGAACAGGAUAACAGCAACGUUCAAGGAACAAGGGAGAUAAUCUUAACGUCUGGCUGCCUAUGGGCCGGGCAGAACAGAGCCAUAUUUCUCUUCUUUCUAAAGCAAAUAGGAGAAAUAUCGCUGAAUUCUUUUUCUCAGCAAGGAACAGCCCUGAGACAGAGAAUGUGUGCCUAGGGGUAGUCCUCCAAAAUGGCCACUCUGGGGACGGCUGUCUUUUAUGGUCGUAGAUAAGGGAAGAAAUAAGCCCCGGACUCCCAUAGUGCUCCCAGGCUUAUUAGGACGAGGAAAUUCCCACCUAAUAAAUUUUGGUCAGACUGGUUGUCUGCUCUCAAACCCUGUCUCCUGAUAAGAUGUUAUCAAUGACAAUGCGUGCCCGAAACUUCACUCGCAAUUUUAAUUUCGCCCUGGUCAUGUGGUCCCGUGAUCUCACCCUGCCUCCAUUUGCCUUGUGAUAUUUUAUUACCUUGUGAAGCAUGUGAUCUCUGUGACCCACACCCUAUUCAUACACUCCCUCCCCUUUUGGAAAUCACUAAUAAAAACUUGCUGGUUUUACGGCUUAGGGGGCAUCACAGAACCUGCCGACAUAUGAUGUCUCCCCUGGACACCCAGCUUUAAAAUUUCUCUCUUUGUACUCUUUCCCUUUAUUUCUCAGACCAGCCAACACUUAGGGAAAAUAGAAAAGGACCCACGUGAAAUAUCAGGGGCUGAAUUUCCCCCGAUAGUGGAGGGAACCAUCCCAAAGCAGUGCCAGCCCCCAUCUAAGGUCAGAGACAUCUGACAGACUAAAUCAGGGCCCUAAAGUAGGGACGCCCCUGGGGACCCCAGUCUGGGUUCAGAAUUUUUUCAGGGGGAUGCCCUGGGUAAAGUUUGGGUCACCUAAUGGGCCCUCUACUUUUCAAAGUCCUCUUCUCUGUUCCAGACCACUAUGGGCAACUCUCUAUCUAUUCGACCUGAUUCCACUAUGGGCAAUUCUACACCUGUUCCACCGGAUUCCUCACUUGGCUACAUCAUCCACCAUUGGAAUCAAUUUGACCCUGACACUCUAAAGGGAAAAUGUAUAAUUUUUUUCUGUAAUACUGUUUGGCCCCAUUAUGAGCUGCCCAGCCCCCAGCAAUGGGCAGUCAGUGGUAGCCUUAAUUAUGACACCAUCCUGCAAUUAGACCUACUUUGCAAGAGGCUGGGAAGAUGGUCAGAAGUCCCAUAUGUACAGGCUUUUAUCAAAAUAUCAAAAACCUAACAAUCUGUGAAACUCCCAGAACCCACCCCCCAAAGGAAAGUACUAAGGCAGAACUAGAUAUUAUAGAUGACCCUCUUUUACAAGGGCUAGCUGUCUCUCAGGGUGAACAGCAACCAUCCCCAUAAAGCCCCUUGCCAAGUGCUCCUGAGGCUAAAACCCAGGAGCAAACACCAGGGACCCUACUAAAUCCCCCUCACACUUGGAGAGGAAUGCCAUAUUCAAUUCUCUCUCCAGCCCUGCUACCUCUUAGGGAAGUAGCAGGAACCAAGGGGCCAGUCCUAGUGCAGGCCCCCUUCUCUAUAAUUUAUACAUACAAUAUAAGGAAAAGCUAGGAAACUAUUCUGAGAAUCCUAAGAAACUUGCAGAUGGGUUCCAGCGUUUGACCUUAGCCUCUGAUCUAUCAUGGAGAGAUGUUCAAUUCAUUCUAGCAACCUGUUACACACCCUCAGAAAAGGAAUGAAUCUCUGAGGCCGCCCACCUGCAAGCAAUGAAUUAUUUGCCCAAAACUCUCAGGGCAAUCAUCCCGGCCCAGACACAGUUCCCACUAUUGAUCAUAAUUGGGACUAUAACACUCCUGAGGAAAUGAACAACCGGGCUAAAUUUCUUGAGGCUCUCCUUGGAGGAAUGAGAAAGGGAAUAACUAAAGGCAGUAAAUUAUGAUAAAGUAAGGGAGGUUACACAAGGCAAGGAGGAAAAUCCAGCCAUGUUUUAUGGCAGGCUGGAGGGAGACUUUAAAAAAUAUACUAAUCUGGACCCUUCCUCUCCCGAAGGCAAAAUAUUAAUAGCACAGCAUUUCAUUAGCCAAUCUGCCCCAGACAUUAGAGAUAAGCUCCAAAAGCUACAGAUGGGGCCACAAACUAAUCAAAAUCAGCUUACUUAUAUCACAUUUAUGGUGUAUAACAAUCGUGACCUGAAGGAAGGAAAAAGGGAACAGAGUAAACAAAAUGGCAAGCCAAAAGUAUGGCAGCCAUCAUUGACGAUGCCCUGAAUGUACAAAGAGUGUCUAAGGGAAACCCGAAGGGCCAUAAAGAUAAUGCCAGCAAAGGCUCUUGCUUCAAAUGCAAGAAAAGAAGACAUUGGGCAAAGGAUUGUGCUAAGUCCCCGCCAGGCCCCUGCCGUCAAUGCAAGGGCACCAGUCAUGACCCCUGGCACUGGAGAAUUGACUGCCCAUGUUCCCACUGAGGGGCUCAGUCAGUCAAAACUCUAGCAGUGCAAAAGGAGGAAUUAGAUGAAGACUGAAGGGGCCUGAGGUCUUCCUCACUGCCCCUGUUCAGGAACAUUGUAAUUACUACUGAGGAGCCCCAGGUAACUCUGGACGUCAUGGGCACCCAAAUUCAGUUUCUUUUUGAUGCAGGAGCAAAUUACUCUGUUCUUACUGCUUAUGCAGUAAGGCGUUCCUCCCAGUCCACAAGUGUUAUGGGAAUAGAAUGGAAGCCACAAACGAGUUUUUAUUUUAUUUUAUUUUAUUUUAUUUUACUUUAAGUUCUGGGAUACAUAUGCAGAAUGUGCAGGUUUGUUACAUAGGUAUACAUGUGCCAUGGUGGUUUGCUGCACCUAUCGACCCAUCAUCUAGGUUUUAAGUCCCACAUGGAUUAGGUAUUUGUCCUAAUGCUCUUCCUCCCCUUGCCCCCAACCCCCCAACAGGCCUUGGUGUGUGAUGUUCCCCUCCCUGUGUCCAUGUGUUCUCAUUGUUCACCUCCCACUUAUUAGUGAGAACAUGCGGUGUUUGGUUUUCUGUUCCUGUGUUAGUUUGCUGAGAAUGAUGGUUUCCAGCUUCAUCCAUGUUCCUGCAAAGGACAUGAACUCAUUCUUUUUUAUGGUUGCGUAGUAUUCCAUGGUGUAUAUGUGCCAUAUUUUCUUUAUCCCGUCUAUCACUGAUGGGCAUUUGGGUUGGUUCCAAGUCUUUGCCAUGGUAAAUAGUGUUGCAGUAAACAUACAUGUGCAUGUAUCUUUAUAAUAGAAUGAUUUAUAAUCCUUUGGGUAUAUAUCCAGUAAUGGGAUUGCUGGGUCAAAUGGUAUUUCUGGUUCUAGAUCCCUGAGGAAUCACCACACUGUCUUCCACAAUGGUUGAACUAAUUUACACUCCCACCAACAGUGUAAAAAUGUUCCUACUUCUCCACAGCCUCACCAGCCUGUUUCCUGACUUUUUAAUGAUCACCAUUCUAACUGGUGUGAGAUGGUAUCUCACUGUGAUUUUGAUUUGCAUUUCUCUAACAACAAGUGAUGAGCAUUUUUUCAUAUGUUUGUUGGCUGCAUAAAUGUCUUCUUUUGAGAAGUGUCUGUUCAUAUCCUUUGCCUACUUUUUGAUGGGGUUGACAAACAAGAUUCAUUACUCCUCCUUUGAUUUGUCAAUUUGAGAAACAACUCUUCCAACAGGAUUUCCUAGUAGUACCAAGCUGCCCAAUCCCCCUGUUGGGAAGAGAUAUUAUGGUUAAAAUGGAGGCACUACUACAAUUUAAGCAUCACCCAUUGAAAUUGCUGAUAGUCAAAAAUACAGUGUUCCAGACCACAUUAAUAAAUAGGUUAACCCGCUGGCAUUGGUAUACUGGAAAACCAGGGAAGGCUAAAACAGCAGUGCCAGUCAAAAUACAUUUUAAAGACCUCAGCUAGUUUCCCAAUUGAAAAUAAUAUCCAAUUAAGCAGGAAGCAAGAAAAGGCCUAGCACCCAUAAUUGAGGUAUUACUUAUUACAUGGGCUCUUAAAAUCCUGUAAUUCCCCUUGCAAUACCUGUUCUAAAGCCUUUGGGGGAAUACCAGUUAGUAUAGGACUGGAGAAUACCGGUUAGUAUAGGACCUGAGAAUAAUUAAUGAGGCUGUUAUCCCCGUCCACCCACUGGUGGCAGAUCCAUAUACCCUUAUGGCUCAGGUACAAGGGGAUGCAAAAUGGUUCUCAGUCCUGGACCUAAAAGAUGCUUUCUUCUCCAUCCCUCUGGCCCCAGAGUCCCAAUACCUUUUUGCCUUUGAAUGGGAAAAUCAAUAUGAGGGAAAAACAGUAAUAUACCUGGACAGUGCACCCUUAGGGCAUUCAGGAUAGCCCCCAUUGGAUUGCCCGAGCCUUAGAGAGGGAUCUGAAGGAUCUGAAAGUGAAAAAUGGGAAUAUACUCCAGUAUGUGGAUGACUUUCUUGUGUGUAGCCCAAACCCAGGAGGUUUCUGACCAAACUACUAUAAAAACUUUGAAUUUCCUGGCAGACAGGGGAUACAAAGUGUCCGACAAGAAGGCACAGAUUAUCCUCCAAUGGGUGCAAUAUUUAGGGUAUGUCUUAACACCCAGAGCCUGACAAAUAUCCCCAGAACGAGAGCAAGCCAUAGGUGGUUUGCCCCCUGCCCCCUCCCCAACCCCCCCACCUGCCACACCUAGUAGCAGCUUUGUUCUUUUUUGGGAAUGGCCAGGUUUUGCAGAAUAUGGGUACCAAAUUUCAGACUCAUAGCAAAGCCCCUAUAUGAAGCAACAAAGGGGCCUGAAGACGAGCUAAAGGAAUGAACCCCAGAAUUGAGAAAAGCCUUUGCCAAGUUAAAACAGGCUCUCGCUCUUGGCAUCCCAGACCUACCUAAGCCCUUCUCUUUGUACGUAGCAGAGAAGAAGGGCAUAGCUGUGGGUGUACUAGCCCAGACAUUAGGAUCAGAACCCAGACUAACCACUGACUUUCCAAAGAAGUUGGAUGGAGUGGCCUCGAGGUGACCAAGUUGCCUGCGGCCAACAGCAGCCACUGCUAUGUUAGUGGAGGAAGCCACUGAAAUCGCUCUGAGCCAACCACUGGAAGUUCUCACCCCCUCAUCAGGUUAAGUCUGUCUUAGAGAUAAAGGGACACAUCUGGAUGACAGGGGAAAGAUGAACCAAAUACCAGGCCAUGUUCCUAGACAAUCCAGAUGUAACCCUUAAAACCUGCAACACUUUGAAUCCAGCUUCAGUGCUGCCCACAGGCCCAAUAACUGAUCAUUCCUGCAAGCAGGUCAUUGCACAUACACAAUGUUAGCCAGCCUGCUUUAAAAGACAAGCCUCUCCCAGAUUCUGAGGAUGAGUGGUUCACAGAUGGCAGUAGUUUUGUGUCAAAUGGGGUUUGACACAGCACUGAGCUGGAUAUGCAGUAGUAAUUAUCGAAGCCCAGCCACUGCUCCUUGGCACAUCAGCACAAAAGGCUGAAAUCAUUGCUCUUACUUGAGCAUUAAUGUUGGUACAAGGAAAAAAGCUUAACAUCUAUAUCGAUUCUAAAUAUGCAUUCCUUGUGGUUCAUGUUCAUGCUACAGUCUGGAAAGAAAAGGGAUUUCUAACUAGAAAACAGUCCUCUAUAAAGCCUGGGCCUGAAAUUCUUCAGCUAUUGGAAGCAAUACACUUGCCAAAGGCCGUAGCUCUAAUUAAUUGUUGGGGUAUCAAAGGGACUUAACCCCUAUAGCACAAGGGAACAGAAAGGCUGAUAAAGAACCAAAGCCGCAUCCCUCAGGGUGCCAUCCCAACAGACCCUAGCCCUACUUCCUUUCUAUGAUUUCCCAACAGAACCUGAGUACACAGUACAGAAAGAACAGUUAAUAGAGGAACAAGGGGGACACAAAAAAAGGAUCCUGGUGGCAUAUGGGGUCAAAAACAUAUCUCCCUCAGACAGCCCAGUGGAAAGUUAUAAAAGCCGUGCAUGCCUCUUUCCAUGUGGGGAGGGAUGCAACUCUGGCCAUUUAAACCAGCUCUUUACUGGGUCUAACUUAGCUUCAGUGGCUAAGCAGGUUUGCUAGGCCUGCUCCCUGUGUGCACUUAACAACCUAGGAAACAACAUGCCUCCUCUAAUAGAACCAGUGCAGAGGAGAGGAACUUAUCCAGGGGGAGACUGGCAAUUAGACUUCACCCAUAUGCCAGCUUGCAGAGGACAUGAGUUUUUGUUAGUACUAAUAGAUAUCUUUACUGGUUGGGUCGAAGUUUAUCCUACCAGAACAGAGAAGGUUAAUGAGGCUAUAAAGGUUCUCUUAAAAGAAAUAAUCCCCGGGUUUGGGUUACCUCAGAGCCUCCAAAUUGAUAAUGGCCCGUCCUUUAUCUCCCAGCUAACUCAAGGGGUUGCUAAGUCUCCUGGAAUCAAGUACUAUCUACAUUCAGCAUGAAGGCCUCGAUCCUUGGGGAAAGUAGAAAGGGCUAACCAAACUUUAAAACGAGUGUUAGCUAAGCUAUGUAAGGAAACAUCAGAAACUUGGGUCAGCUUACUGCCCAUAGCCCUCUUAAGGACCCAUAAUACCCCUACAGCAAAAAUUAAUAUAAACCCAUAUGAAAUAUUAUGUGGAAGGCCAUUCUUAACUAAUGAUUUAAUUACUGAUCCAGAAACAGUUGGUUUAGUAAAAUACCUAGUCAAUCUAGGACAGUUUCAACAGGCUUUACAAACGUUUGGAAUGCAAAGUCUCCCCACACUGGGAACAAUCAGCAACUUAAAAUCAGGUCAGGAAAUAAGGUACUUCUUAAAACAUGGAAAGAGGGAUCACCUGCUCAACAAUUACAACCCAAACGGAAGGGACUGUUUUCAGUGGCACUGGCCAUGCCUUCUGCAGUGAAAGUACUAGGAUUAGAUAGCUGGAUACAUCUUUCAAGGAUCAAGAGAGUGAUACCAGAAGCCCUGGACCAGGAACCCGAAGUUGCCAUCUGCCUCUACACCUGUGAACCUGUGGAAGACUUCAUGAAGUACCUGUUUAGAAGACAGUCAAAAGAAAAGUAAAUGCCUACCAAUUUUCCUUGGUGUCUUUGUUGCAUAGUUACUAUAGGCUGGAUAAUAGUGCCAUUUUUAAAAAUGUUUUAUUUUUGCAGUUUCAUUGCCUUCUUCCAAAUGGAUGGAAUCACUUCCUUUGUAGUAAUUAAGCAGAAUGUUUUAAUACAUUUCUAUAACAAACAUUCCUGACGGCAUAGGUAUCCACCCCCAAAGUUCCCAUUAAAUCUUUUAACCAAAUUCAUUUCCUGUUGCACAGAGACCAUCAAGCUUCAGAUGAUCAUGUGACAGGGUUUCCAGCCAGUUCCAGGUGAAGACACCACCCCUGGCCAUCAAGAAGUCACCCGGUCUCCACUAGACAGAGUAGGGUGAGAGUUCCGUGAUCUCCAACCGGUAGUGAUUAUGCCCCAAGUCAGCAUAAAGAAGUUACGGAAGAAAAACCAUCAGUCCCUCUGUCUCACAUAAAGACUUAUGGGGAUCACGUUUCUCAGAGGGGAGAUGAGGCAGGAGAAUAGGGUCUGGAGGCAGGGAACCUAAGGCCGUUUCACACUGACUUCUUAGAACUAAAUUGAAAGGAAAACCCUAAUUUUCCAUGCCUAAGUAACAAAAGGACCAGAGGCUACUCCCUUUGCAAACCCCCACCUUUUCUGUGUGGCAUAUGGGAAAUUGAAAGUACCUCUGAUUGAUUGUUUUCUGCAACCAAUCAGAUGUUUGCAUUGGAGUGUAACUUUGUAAUUUCACUUCAGUCUCUGAUUGGUUGCUGCAGUCUGGAAAUUCUGCAGGCCAAGUCUUCGUUUGCAUAGAAGUGCAACUUUGUAACUUCAUCUUAGCCUCUGAUUGGUUGCUUUCUGCAACCAAUCAGAUGUUUGCAUAGGCGUGUGACCUUUGUAACUUCACUUCAGCUUCUGAUUGGUUGCUUUCCACAACCAAUCAGACUGAUUGUGGGCCACCACUUCCUUUACGUGAGGUGAACACCAAGUGGCCAAUGGAAAACCUCAAGAGGGUAUUUGGACCUGAGAAGAUUCUGUAUCUGGGGCCCUUGAGCUGCUGCUCUGCCCACUCUCACAUGGUGGAGUGUAAUUUCACUUUGAAUAAAUCUCUGCUUUUGUUGCUUCAUUCUUUCCUUGCUUUGCUGUGUAUUUUGUCCAAUUCUUUGUUCAAAACGCCAAGAACCUGGACAACUUGCAGUCAAGACCCUCUACCAGUAACACUAGUUGUAUCCCUGUAAAUGAAUGGGCUUUGAAGAUUUUCUAGAAGAAAAAGAUCACCUCAUUGUCCUUCAUUUUUUGACAUAAAACUGUGAUAGCCCAAUAGAUAAAAUGUGAGUUAUCGAUCACCCCUGGAAAGGAUUAGGAUAUGCCACUCCAAAAUAUGCCACGUUUAUUUUGCACUGAAGGCAAUUGAGAAACAGUAGACACAGGAAGAGCUCUCUGCUUUUCCCCUUUUUACCUAAAAGCAGAGAAUAAAUUUCCUUUUGGAAAGAUGACAUACAUUUUCCUUUAUAAAGGUGUUCCCUUCUCCUCUACCAGGAAGAUCUGAGAUGGCACCAAAAUGAAUCUGCCUAACAAACCUUACUGCACAAUUCUUAGCUACCAUACAUUUCAUAGUCACCUUCCCAUAAUUUACUGCCCUUAGGAGCCCAAGUCCCUUUCCUUUGACUAUCACCUCUCCACAAUUUAUUGCCCUUUGUUAAAAUGAUAUAUAAGCUCCUUCAUUUAACUACAUCUUUGGGUUUUCACUUCUUAUCUUUGAUGCUACGAUGCAUGUAAAAAUAUUAAUAAAAUUUGUGUGCUUUUUCUCCUGUUAAUUGUAUGUCUUUUAUCAACUUAAAUUACAGGCCCCAAGUACAUAAUUAAGAGAGUAAAAGGCUGGGCACGGUGGCUGAUGCCUGUAGUCCCAGCACUUUGGGAGGCCAAGGCAGGCAGAUCACAAGGUCAGG